Long non-coding RNA from Ictalurus punctatus (channel catfish), 1069 nucleotides. The record is from Ensembl. Lineage: Eukaryota; Metazoa; Chordata; Actinopteri; Siluriformes; Ictaluridae.
CCGCUGGCCCUUUAAGAAGCAGGAAUGUGAGUUCCCGUUCUGCCCAGGAGUAUCGCGAGAGUUCACCUGCGAGCAGCGCGAUUUACAACGCGAUGCAGGUGUUUCUUAUGAAGUGUGAGAACCGGGAAGUUCUUGUGCAUGAAGCAAGACUUUAAGUUUAAAGUCACAGUGGAGCCACUGAGCAGUGAGAUUAAGCGUACUCGUCAGGCUUACAUCUGAAGACCAAACAUCUGUGGUGAAGUUCAUCGCGGAGUGGUUAUGAAGAAGCUCGUGAAUAUGAUCCGUCAUACGGUUGUAUAACUCCGAAUUACUUUAGGCACUGAUAGAACUGUUCUGUAAUGACGGAAGAUCAGCGCAGAAUUCACCAGACUUGUGUCGAUGGACCUGAGCAAGUUCUUUUAUGAGGGUCUUGACAAACACGCCUCAAAGCUGCUGUAUUUGUACCGCUCGAGGCGCCAUGCAGACAUCGCAGAAAGGAGUGCCAUACUGGAGAGCCUGGAUAAAAAUGCAUCAAAUCACAGGAAGAGGGUUGCAGUACUGCUGGGGCUGCCACUGUCCAUGCGGGAGAAUCCAUCUCAGUUCUUACAGAUCUGUGAGCACACAGAUUCUGAAGAAGAGUUAAUCAAGGGCAUGACUGUUGGAAUCAGUACAGUUGUGGAUGACGUGAUGGACCCUAUUCCGUGUGACUGCGGUGAUGUAGCCCUUGUAAUGGAAGAAGUUGUCGUUCUACGCAAUCUUGGUGAUGUACCAAAUGCAUUUGUCAACUUGAUGGGAUUGCUUUAUGCACGUAACAUAAACUACCCCACAAACUUCAAAUACACCUUUGAGGUGAUUCAGAGGCUGUUCAUGAACAUCGGAGCUGAUGCCUGCAGUGCACGAGUACAUUCACUUAAAAAUAAUCUGCUCAAGUAGAGAUGGUGUUAUGCAUUUCUUGUAAGAGAGAUUUCAUGUGGUGUUGUGUUGUGUAUGUUACAGUUUCUAUACCUAAGCAGCAUGACUUCAGUUUUGUUGUAUAUUUUCACCUUUAAACACCGGGCAAUUGAAAUGUAAUGUUGUUAGGCAAAAACAG